UUGUAUGAAUUCCACAGAAAAGGUUUUUGAAAGUGAAGAUGAAAGCCCACAGGAGGCACACUGUUCAUCUACUGCUGAUGCAGAAGAGACUCUUCCUCACAUCGAGAGCCCUGAAAUUCCACCAACCAAGAAGCGAAGACAACGGCCGUUGGUUGAAAUGCCGGAAGAAGUCGGCGCUAUGAGGCCUUCCUCACAAGGUGAACUCUUUACACAUGUCUUUUGUACGUCAGUAAAGAUUGUCUGUUCCUCUUUGGAAAUGGAUUUUAUUCAGUUUACCAAUUUAAAGUUGUAUCAGUUAUAACAGCCCUAUCAGAAUAUACAAAGGUUGGG
Molecule: long non-coding RNA, 330 nt
Filed under: Gadus morhua (Atlantic cod)
Lineage: Eukaryota; Metazoa; Chordata; Actinopteri; Gadiformes; Gadidae
Description: lncRNA (ENSGMOG00000029747.1)
Source: RNAcentral